AAAAACAGUUGGAGCUAAGCCUAUGGCUGAGAGGCUUUUGGGACUGGGCUUUGACUGGUGGCUGAUGGUGGAGAAGAAUCUGAGGCUUUUUGACUUCUGACAGAGGUGACUGAGAAUCAACCUCAAGAAAGACACAGGUAGAAAGAGAUCUUGUGGUUUGAAGAGAAGAGACUUCUGGAUCUAUGGAAUGAGGUUAACUGGUAGCUAGGGGAGUAUUCAUUAGAGAUAAGAGGAUAACUGGGAAAAAUAAAAUGUCUUUGAAUAAAGAAAAAGAAAGAGAUAAGAGAAGACUAGGCUUCUAGACUUGCUUGCCAGAAGGCAUGAACUUUAGGGGAGGUAGUGCAAUGUUAAAACUAAAUGGAAAAUACCUAAUUAGCAAUUCCACAAACUACUUUCCAUUUAGAUGAUUUAAAGGGAAAACUUCCCAACCAGAUAUAACAAUAGUUCUACUUGCCACUUGCUUAGCUUCUUACAGUCAAUAUAUGCUUUUUGAGAUUUGUGUUUUAGCAUUUCUUUUGUGUUUAGGAAAUAAAUGCUUGGCCUAUACCUUGUUUAGGUUGUACAUUGAGUAACUUUCAAUUUCUUAGACAUAGUACAACAACUUAUGCUUUAAAUACUUUAUUUGUAGCAUUGGGCUUAAGGAAUUGAAAAGUAUGGGGAAAGAGAUCCUCACUGUUCUCUUUAGAGAUCAGGUUCCUCCAGGACUGGUUCUCCACACUGUUUAGUCAGGAAUCACAAAAGGAUAAUCUACACCAAUAUAUAACCCAUAUUACACAAGUAAAUACAUUCAUUUUGAAUUUCCAAAUAUAUGGGGUCCAUUUCAGAGUCAGCGAAAAAUCAGGAACAAAGAAGAGAGAUCAAGCUUUGUAAUUUUUUAAAAAUUAUAUAUCUCUGAAUUUUAAUUGUCUUACUCUAGAGACUAAAAAUAAACUUGGACAACCCUGGAUGAAGAUCAAAGUUGGUAAUGUAUAUGACUAUACUUUGAAAGCUUUGGAAUUUCUCCUCAUUUAUCAAGACUAAUUCUUUAGGAGUUUUUAAUUUUAAAAAAUUACUAAAAAUCUAAGCUGAGAUGUUAUUGUAUCCCAAUUUACGGAGAAGCCUUUUUUUUUUCCUUCUUAGGUGGGUGGCUCCUAACAGACAGCAAACUGAGAUCUUUCCUCUACAACUUCAUGGAAUUCAGCCUGUUGCUCUCAACAAUGUCAUAGUAACCAGUUAAACCUGAGCACUUGUGGGAUUUGUGCCAGAUCCAGGACAACUCUAAGGGACUCAUGAUGAAAAAGGCCAUGCAUUAUCAUAGAAUGAACUGACAGAGUCCAAAUGUAGAUUGAAACACACUAUUCACUUUAUUUCCUCCAUGAAGUUUUCUCUAUUGUAAGUAGUGUGUGUCUUCUUUCACAACAUGACGAACAUGGGCAUUUGUAUUGUAUGACUGCACAUGUAUGAUCUAUAUCCUAUUGCUUAAUGUCUCAGGGAGAAUGGUGGUUUGGAGGAGGGAGAGAACAUGGAUUGUCAAAUGUCAAAAGAGGGUUAUUACAUUUUC
Non-coding RNA from Monodelphis domestica (gray short-tailed opossum), 1540 nucleotides. The record is from RefSeq and is a predicted model, not a curated record. Lineage: Eukaryota; Metazoa; Chordata; Mammalia; Didelphimorphia; Didelphidae.